RNAcentral lists this ribosomal RNA (440 nucleotides) under uncultured bacterium. RNAcentral describes it as "bacterial SSU rRNA". It matches the Rfam family "Bacterial small subunit ribosomal RNA", at positions 338 to 773 of the family's 1533-position model. The record is from RNAcentral.
CCUACGGGUGGCUGCAGUCGAGAAUCUUCUGCAAUGGGCGCAAGCCUGACAGAGCGACGCCGCGUGCGGGAUGAAGGCCUUCGGGUUGUAAACCGCUGUCAGUGGGGAGCAAAUGUUAGAGGGUUCUCCCUCUAGCUUGAGCGAUCCGCAGAGGAAGCACAGGCUAAGCUCGUGCCAGCAGCCGCGGUAAGACGAGCUGUGCAAACGUUAUUCGGAAUCACUGGGCUUAAAGAGUUCGUAGGCGGCCUGUUAGGUGAGGUGUGAAAUCCCUCGGCUCAACCGAGGAAUGGCGCUUCAAACCGGCAGGCUUGAGGAAGGUAGAGGUGAGCGGAACUGAUGGUGGAGCGGUGAAAUGCGUUGAUAUCAUCAGGAACACCGGAGGCGAAGGCGGCUCACUGGGCCUUUUCUGACGCUGAGGAACGAAAGCUAGGGUAGCGAAC